Molecule: ribosomal RNA, 514 nt
Filed under: Pleosporaceae sp.
Lineage: Eukaryota; Fungi; Ascomycota; Dothideomycetes; Pleosporales; Pleosporaceae
Description: SSU rRNA
Rfam family: Eukaryotic small subunit ribosomal RNA
Source: RNAcentral
GCUGGCGGUCCGCCUCACCGCGUGCACUCGUCCGGCCGGGCCUUCCUUCUGAAGAACCUCAUGCCCUUCACUGGGCGUGCUGGGGAAUCAGGACUUUUACUUUGAAAAAAUUAGAGUGUUCAAAGCAGGCCUUUGCUCGAAUACGUUAGCAUGGAAUAAUAAAAUAGGGCGUGCGUUUCUAUUUUGUUGGUUUCUAGAGACGCCGCAAUGAUUAACAGGAACAGUCGGGGGCAUCAGUAUUCAGUUGUCAGAGGUGAAAUUCUUGGAUUUACUGAAGACUAACUACUGCGAAAGCAUUUGCCAAGGAUGUUUUCAUUAAUCAGUGAACGAAAGUUAGGGGAUCGAAGACGAUCAGAUACCGUCGUAGUCUUAACCGUAAACUAUGCCGACUAGGGAUCGGGCGAUGUUCUUUUUCUGACUCGCUCGGCACCUUACGAGAAAUCAAAGUUUUUGGGUUCUGGGGGGAUUAUGGUCGCAAGGCUGAAACUUAAAGAAAUUGACGGAAGGGCACCAA